Xiphophorus hellerii (green swordtail) is the source of this 270-nucleotide long non-coding RNA. RefSeq lists it as uncharacterized. The transcript is spliced from 3 exons. The record is from RefSeq and is a predicted model, not a curated record. Lineage: Eukaryota; Metazoa; Chordata; Actinopteri; Cyprinodontiformes; Poeciliidae.
UCGGUUCUGAUGGAGUCAUCCGGUUCUGAUCCAGUAGCGGGUCAGAGGUCGGAUCACUGGGACUCCAGGAAGAAGGCCAGUCUGCAGAGAUUAUCUGGAAGGACACAGAGACCCGGUCCAGUUUCAUAUGGCAGGCUGUUUUAGCAUAUAAUGGGUUUCGUCUGCCUUCCUGUAAUUACACUCCGGGUGUCCAGUUUGGACUCUACACGGCUACAUCACCACCAACCUGAACGAUAAUUAAACAUAUCAGCAUUUUAGGGCUGAAACUAA